Long non-coding RNA from Symphalangus syndactylus (siamang), 589 nucleotides. RefSeq lists it as uncharacterized. Lineage: Eukaryota; Metazoa; Chordata; Mammalia; Primates; Hylobatidae. The record is from RefSeq and is a predicted model, not a curated record.
GUUCCUUCCCUCCUUCCUCACUCUAAGAAAAUGGUUUGGGCUUUCCCUCUCUCUCUUCAGCAAAUAUUUCUGCAAACAGCAGCCCUUACUGUUUCUUCCAGGUGCUGGCCCACAUUUUUACAUACAUCCAUCAUUGCUCAUCCAUGCAACCUCUUUCCAACCCUGUAAGAGGGGUUUAUAUUGUACAGAUGAAGAAACUGAAGUUCGAGAAGUUAAUUGACUUAGACAAUGUGACUCAGUGGCAGAGCUAACAUUAAAACUCAAAUCAGUCAAACUUCAAGGCAUCUUUCCAUGAGGCAGCAGUCUAACCGUGUGAGCAGCAAGAGGAUUCACUGAGUUACUUUGUAUUCAGGACGGGCUUUGCAGAUGCCUAGAAUCUGCAGACAACGCAGCAAAUGAUGCCAUGUUUGUUCUUUGGGCCAAAAGACUGGCAACUGUUCUAAAGUAGAUCUAAUUGCCCGCAAACUCUUUAAAGAUGAUGAGCAGUCUUUGUGCUUUGCACACAUCAAGAUGCCCAAUAGCAUUGCUAAUUGAAGAUGAAAUUCAUUCAAUGUCUGAUUUAAAAAUAAACAGGUGAAAUUAUAGCCAA